GGCUUGGUGAGCAGAAGAUCAUUUUUUUUUUUUAAAUUAGACAUCUUGCUGUUAAAAAACUUUUGACUGGUAUGUUCACUGAUGAAAUAUGGUUAAUAUGCUGGUAUGAGGCUGAGGAGUCUGCACAGGCCUAGGAAUAUCAUUUUAUCCUGAUCUAUUCAAGUGUUUUUGUCUAUUUUUGUUUAAUAUUUUGUUUUAACCAAUAAAAAAAUGUGAUUUAGA
Molecule: long non-coding RNA, 222 nt
Organism: Onychostoma macrolepis
Lineage: Eukaryota; Metazoa; Chordata; Actinopteri; Cypriniformes; Cyprinidae
Exons: 2
Source: RefSeq, a predicted model, not a curated record